CUAAAUGGUCGUGCAGUUGCGUGAUGAUAAUCACGAGGAAAGUCCGGACUCUAUAGAGGUAUGGUGCCGGUUAACAUCCGGCAGAGUAUUAUUACUUUAGGGCUAGUACCACAGAAAAUAUACCGCCGAGUAUUUCGGUAAGGGUGAAAAGGUGUGGUAAGAGCACACCGGUAAGUUGGCAACAAGUUACGCAUGGUUAACCCCACCAAGAGCAAGAUCAAAUAGGCAUUACAGAAUUUAAAUAUUUAUUUAAGUUCCUGGGUUACCUCUAAUCGGAUUGUAAUGCGGGUAGAUCGCUUGAGGUAAACGGUAACGUUUAUCCUAGAUAAAUAACUGCAAUGAAUUAAUAUUCAUACAGAAUCCGGCUUAUAGACCAGAUGAGCAG
Non-coding RNA from Rickettsia prowazekii str. Madrid E, 385 nucleotides. It matches the Rfam family "Bacterial RNase P class A". From Rfam's summary of the family: Ribonuclease P (RNase P) is a ubiquitous endoribonuclease, found in archaea, bacteria and eukarya as well as chloroplasts and mitochondria. The record is from Rfam. Lineage: Bacteria; Pseudomonadati; Pseudomonadota; Alphaproteobacteria; Rickettsiales; Rickettsiaceae.